UACGUAGGCAGCGAGCGUUGUUCGGAGUUACUGGGCGUAAAGGGUGUGUAGGCGGUUAUUUAAGUUUGGUGUGAAAUCGUCCCGCUCAAACCGGGAGGGUACGCCGAAUACUGAAUGACUUGGAGUGCGGGAGAGGUGAGUGGAAUUCCUGGUGAGCGGUGAAAUGCGUAGAUAUCAGGAGGAACACCGGUGGUGUAGACGGCUCACUGGACCGUAACUGACGCUGGAGACACGAAAGCGUGGGUAGCAAACAGG
Molecule: ribosomal RNA, 255 nt
Filed under: uncultured bacterium
Lineage: Bacteria
Description: partial 16S ribosomal RNA
Rfam family: Bacterial small subunit ribosomal RNA
Source: RNAcentral